CCUACGGGAGGCUGCAGUGGGGAAUAUUGCACAAUGGGGGAAACCCUGAUGCAGCGACGCCGCGUGAGUGAGGAAGUAUUUCGGUAUGUAAAGCUCUAUCAGCAGGGAAGAAAAAAGAGGUUACCUGAUAAAAAAGCCCCGGCUAACUACGUGCCAGAAGCGGCGGUAAUAGGUAGGGGGCAAGCGUUAUCCGGAUUUACUGGGGGUAAAGGGAGCGUAGACGGUAAGGCAAGUCAGAAGUGAAAACCCAAGGCUCAACCAUGGGCCUGCUUUUGAAACUGUCAAACUAGAGUACGGGAGAGGUAAGAGGAAUUCCUAGUGUAGCGGUGAAAUGCGUAGAUAUUAGGAGGAACACCAGUGGCGAAGGCGUCUUACUGGACCGAAACUGACGUUGAGGCUCGAAAGCGUGGGGAGCAAACAGGAUUAGAUACCCGAGUAGUC
Molecule: ribosomal RNA, 441 nt
Filed under: uncultured bacterium
Lineage: Bacteria
Description: partial 16S ribosomal RNA
Rfam family: Bacterial small subunit ribosomal RNA
Source: RNAcentral